GCCCUGGUAGUGUAGUCUGGCACAGCAUUUUAUUUAAUGCUGCAGCACCUAUCAUGAAGCCUUGUCGAAAGGCUUCGACCCGGGUUCGAAACAUCUUCCCGAAACAGAGAGGGUGAGAGCUUCCCGGCCAGGGCG
Molecule: transfer RNA, 135 nt
Filed under: Candidatus Woesearchaeota archaeon
Lineage: Archaea; Nanobdellati; Candidatus Woesearchaeota
Description: tRNA-Asp
Source: RNAcentral